UACAGAGGGUGCGAGCGUUAAUCGGAAUUACUGGGCGUAAAGGGCGCGUAGGCGGUUUAUCAAGUGAGAUGUGAAAUCCCCGGGCUUAACCUGGGAACUGCAUCUUAAACUGAUGAGCUGGAGUACUGUAGAGGAUAGUGGAAUUUCCGGUGUAGCGGUGAAAUGCGUAGAGAUCGGAAGGAACAUCAGUGGCGAAGGCGACUGUCUGGACAGAUACUGACGCUGAGGCGCGAAAGCGUGGGGAGCAAACAGG
Molecule: ribosomal RNA, 253 nt
Filed under: uncultured bacterium
Lineage: Bacteria
Description: partial 16S ribosomal RNA
Rfam family: Bacterial small subunit ribosomal RNA
Source: RNAcentral